UUUCCGUAGGUGAACCUGCGGAAGGAUCAUUAUUGUAUAACCGAGGUGCGAGGGCUGUCGCUGACCCGACAGGUCGUGCACGCCCGAGUGCCCUCACACACAUCCAUCUCACCCCUAUGUGCACCACCGCGUGGGUCCCCCUUUGGCUUGUUCGGAGGGGGGCUUACGUUUUCACACAAACUUUGUAUGCAGUGUAGAAUGUAUUUUUUGUUUUUGCGAUCACGCAAUCAAUACAACUUUCAACAACGGAUCUCUUGGCUCUCGCAUCGCUGAAGAACC
Molecule: unclassified non-coding RNA, 279 nt
Filed under: plant metagenome
Description: partial contains small subunit ribosomal RNA, internal transcribed spacer 1, and 5.8S ribosomal RNA
Source: RNAcentral